UGGCCUGUGCACUCUGAUACACAAGCCUGGUCACAUAGUUGUGCUCUGUGGGUUACUCACGUAUACACACGUCAAUAGAUCAUCGGUCGUUCCAUUGAUCGAUAACUGAGGAAAGUUUGUUAAUUAAUAUUCUUAGAAUGGUUGAGUUAAACGAUCCUAAAUCUCACGAAAAAUUUUCAGUUGAUGUAAAACUUCUGCUUGUACCAGGAGUUCUCCUAGUCCUUUUAAUUGUGUUCUUUAUUUACCGGAUUUUAAAGGCAAACCAUGACAGGGAGAAAGCCAAAAAAGAAAAGAGAAAAAUGAAACAAGAAAAGAAGAAACAAUAACAGGAGGCCUUGAUAUUAGGAUAAGAAAUUAUAUCAUUGGUAGAAGCUUUACAAUCAAGACUGGGAUUUUCAUCUGUUGGAUUUGAACAAUGUGCAAACACUAUCUAACAAUUUGCAUUUUGGUGACUUUCAUCUCCAUCUGAAAACUUUGGAUAUAUGUGUGUCAUGUGAUCUCUACAGGCAGUAAGACUUUGAUAACUACUGUAGAGAAAAUAGAUUUCACCUUCAGGAAUGGAAAGGACAUUGAUUUUGACUUAGCUAGAACUUCAAGUAAGCCAAGUUUAUGGUGGGAAGGUUCUACAGUACAAUUAGUUGGCAGAGAACUCAAACAGAAAAAUUUCUGUUGAAAUCUUUGAAUGAUUUAUUUCAGCACAUCACAAAGCAAAAUAUCUCCACUAGCACUCUAAAAGCAUUCACUGUAUCAGUAAAACUCUUAAACCUAACGUCUACAGGUAACAAUCUAACACUUUGCAAAUUAAAAAUGAAAUAUUGACAGUCUUAAAAAGAAAUAAAUAAAUUAUUUGAUUGAA
This is a long non-coding RNA of Pocillopora damicornis (cauliflower coral), 856 nucleotides long. RefSeq lists it as uncharacterized. The record is from RefSeq and is a predicted model, not a curated record. Lineage: Eukaryota; Metazoa; Cnidaria; Anthozoa; Scleractinia; Pocilloporidae.